Malus domestica (apple) is the source of this 1327-nucleotide non-coding RNA. The record is from RefSeq and is a predicted model, not a curated record. Lineage: Eukaryota; Viridiplantae; Streptophyta; Magnoliopsida; Rosales; Rosaceae.
GGUGGCAUGCUCUCCAUUGUUGGAAGUCUUUAACUUCUUUUUCAUUUUGCUUGAUAGUCAUUUAUACCUUGGAAAGCAAUAAAUAUGCCGUGAUGAAAACAAGCACACAAAAAAGCAUAACAUUGAUUUGGUGGUUUUUAUAAGCUCAGGAUGUUUUCUAUAUCGAAGAUUGAUUUUUCUGUCUUAACCAUUUGCUAGAUAGGAAAAUUGCCCGAUAGUUCCCGCUUAAAUCAUGCUCUCUCUCUCUCUCUCUCUCUCUCUCUCAAUCUAAAAUAGAGACAUGAUUCAAAAUUAACAUCACAAAUAUUGUUGAUGCCACAUCUUUUGUUGAGAAGUCAUGAAACAAAAGACAUGUUGCUAAGAUCCUGAAAGAUUGAAAAAAGUUAUUUCUAUAUGAUUAUAUCAGUUUUAACAUUACCCACUACCCAAUAUUUGAACAGUCAAUGCUUGGAGGCUUAUGUCAAUCUCUAACAAUUGUUCGAAUUAUUGUAUCCAAGUAUGCAUUAUACAUUCAAUUGAGCCAAUGAAGCAUGUGUGCCAACGAAUUUUGAAGAGUUCGGCUUGGUUUUCUCUCUUUGAUCUUUAAUAUUUAAGUGUGAGGCACCUGUUUGUUGACUAAUUGAGUCCCUUCUCUAAGUUUUUAGUAGAUAUUGUGUAAUUUGCUUUUAUGAGCACUUCUUUAAGCUGUCAAGUUCCCAAAAUGUACAAGGAGAUAUCAAGUUUAACAAGUCACGAACUAUGAUCAAUCCAAAUGCAGUGAAAUUAGGGAUUUUACACUUAAAAACUUAGUUAGCUUUAGACCAUAGGAGUAAGAUUUUGCACAUGUGAUUAUCAUUGACCAUCUCAUUUUAUUUUUCUGGAUAAGAAACAAACUGUCAUUGAAGGGAGAAGAAAGUGUACAAAAACAAAGUUUCUGUAAGCUUGCUGCCAUUUGAAAAUUCUGGAAGCUAUUAAUUCUGCUUCAUCGGUGACUCAAACCUUAAGCGGAGAAGUGGCUGACGGUCAACGUAAGCUCAUAGCCCUUGCAGCUGCACGAGGAAACUCAAGUGCAGUAAAUCCUCUGGUCACACAACUCACUAAUGGACCUUUGGGUGGUCUUCAUGAGAAGGUCGUGGAUUCCGUGCUGCUGCAGUAUAUUUAAAUGCUGCUGUCCUCCACUGUUUGAGCCUGGGCCUCCGCCACUACCAUAGUGGUAUAUUUUCUUAGGAGCCUACUUUGCAUGAAUUAUUUUGUGUAAUUGGUUGACUUAAAUCUUUAUUUGAUCUAACUAUUCCAAUUUGGCUAAUUUGUUUUUUAAUUUUUUAUUAUAUUGGAGUUGAAUUUGGUA